RNAcentral lists this long non-coding RNA (593 nucleotides) under Nicotiana tabacum (common tobacco). RNAcentral describes it as "long non-coding RNA (NTAB_LNC013118)". Lineage: Eukaryota; Viridiplantae; Streptophyta; Magnoliopsida; Solanales; Solanaceae. The record is from RNAcentral.
CCACUGUUGAGGCGCGUGAGAGGCAUUAUCUUCUGUUUUUCCAAUUAUUUCUCCUAUCUCCUCCUUCCUCCUUUCUAUUUCCACCAUAGUCGUUGCUUACCACUGUGCAACCACCUCUACAUUUCAAAUUCAAUUUCAGUGACCAAAAUAUUUACAAACAACACUAAAACAUUUUUAUUAAAAAUCACUUAAACAUUCAAUAGAAAGAGGGCACCACAAAAUUACAUUCAUCUUCCUCUAUUAUUCUCCGUCCCAACUCCUGCCAUACUCUACCGCAUCGCCACAACGGCACCACCGCGAACCCCAAGCCCAAAUCUGUCCGCUCUUAUACUUCCAUCACUUCUAAGUCUCACCUUUUACCUGCACUGCCAUGGAUUUUGCUCACAAAAAUCAUCACACAGUCUCAAAUAACCUGCCACCACAUAAAAAAAGAUCCAUCAGUUCAACCCAAAACAUCGGUAUUAUUAGAUUAAAAAAAUAGCACGAAGAAGAAGAUGGGUUCUCUCUGAAAAUUUGAGCUUUGAUUUUUCUUUUUUCUUUUUCUUUUCUAUGAGGUCCUGAUGGUGAACAAUUCUCUUUACAAAAUAUUGAUG